RNAcentral lists this ribosomal RNA (253 nucleotides) under uncultured bacterium. RNAcentral describes it as "partial 16S ribosomal RNA". It matches the Rfam family "Bacterial small subunit ribosomal RNA", at positions 524 to 776 of the family's 1533-position model. The record is from RNAcentral.
UACGUAGGGUCCGAGCGUUGUCCGGAAUUACUGGGCGUAAAGAGCUCGUAGGUGGUUUGUCGCGUUGUUCGUGAAAACUCACAGCUUAACUGUGGGCGUGCGGGCGAUACGGGCAGACUGGAGUUCGGCAGGGGAGACUGGAAUUCCUGGUGUAGCGGUGAAAUGCGCAGAUAUCAGGAGGAACACCCGUGGCGAAGGCGGCUCUCUGGGACGGUACUGACGCUGAGACGCGAAAGCGUGGGGAGCGAACAGG